GGUGAAGUGGCGGAGUGGUUAUCGCGGCUGACUUCUAGUACCCACUGAAUCAGUUUCCUUCGGGAGCACGUGUUCGAAUCACGUCUUUACCG
Molecule: transfer RNA, 92 nt
Rfam family: tRNA
About the family: Transfer RNA (tRNA) molecules are approximately 80 nucleotides in length. Their secondary structure includes four short double-helical elements and three loops (D, anti-codon, and T loops).
Source: Rfam